RNAcentral lists this ribosomal RNA (239 nucleotides) under uncultured bacterium. RNAcentral's name for it is "partial 16S ribosomal RNA". It matches the Rfam family "Bacterial small subunit ribosomal RNA", at positions 112 to 334 of the family's 1533-position model. The record is from RNAcentral.
AACACGUGAGAAAUUUUCCCUAAAGUCGAACAUAGCUUCGUGAAAACGGAGGUAAUAUUCGACAUGGUAUUUUGGUCGCAUGGCCGAAAUAUUAAAGGUGGGGACCCUUCGGGGCCUACUGCUUUUGGAUGAUCUCGCGGCCUAUCAGCCUGUUGGUGGGGUAACGGCCUACCAAGGCGUAUGACGGGUAGCUGGUCUGAGAGGAUGGUCAGCCACACUGGGACUGAGACACUGCCCAG